Long non-coding RNA from Homo sapiens (human), 607 nucleotides. RefSeq annotates it as long independently transcribed non-coding RNA 3085. The transcript has a single exon. Lineage: Eukaryota; Metazoa; Chordata; Mammalia; Primates; Hominidae. The record is from RefSeq and is marked validated.
UUGCUUUUCUGUGUUUUCUCUGUCUUUAUGUGUCUUUAUAUUGAUUUCUGCACAUCUGGAGAAACAGUUGUUUCAUUUUUUUAAAUUUACAUUCACUGGAGGAAGCUUUUUUUUUUGUUUUUUGAAGUUAUUACCAUGAUGUUUAUCACAUAGAACCAUUUGGCUUUAAUUUUGGAUUUGUGCAGAGGGAAAGACUGGAUAAGUUUCUUGAGUAUAAACAAAUAUAUACACACACACACACACACACAGAAACAUGUUUCUGUGUGUGUGUGUAUAUAUACACACACAUAUAUAUAUAUAUAUAUAUCACAAAUUUUGGCUUAGGAGUCAUCUUUUCUCUUAGGUUGAUUUUUAAUUCUAACUCCCAGAAAACAAUUAAUUUAUCUUUGUUUUAUUUGUCAUUGAGGCCCAGCAAACCUGAAGUAAAAGGGUGAGAAGGUAGGGUGGGUGCUGGAUAAUGAGAAAUUACUUAAGGGUUAUAAUGUAAAUUAUUUGAAUGAUGGAUACCCUAAAAGCCCUGACUUCGCCACUAUGCAGUCUAUGCAUGUAACUAAAUUACAUUUGUACACAACACUUUUGUAAAAAUAAAUUAAAAAGAACAACUAGA